Daphnia pulicaria is the source of this 448-nucleotide long non-coding RNA. RefSeq lists it as uncharacterized. Lineage: Eukaryota; Metazoa; Arthropoda; Branchiopoda; Diplostraca; Daphniidae. The record is from RefSeq and is a predicted model, not a curated record. The transcript is spliced from 4 exons.
GGAGCACUUGUGGAUGCCUGGCCGUAUUUUCCGGGCUUAAAGAUUUGAGGCUGAGCCAGCCAUCGUGGUAAACAGUGUGCCAAUGUUGCUUGUGAAUUGGUAUUGACCUGUCAACAGCAACCAUCUCACCAUCAUCACCACUUGCUGGAUAAACAACAUCCCGUUUGAGUUGGAGAACCUACCCAGGAUGUCGGUCGAGUUACGGAUCUUUUCUUCCCCUUUCUUGAAAUGUCCACGUGUACACCCAUGUGAGUUUGGGGGUAUUCACGAGACUUUUCCUAUCCCACCCGGUGGAUUCAACUUAACUGCAGAUGGAACACUUGUAGAUGCCUGGCCGUAUUUCCCGGGCUUAAAGGUUCCUGACACACAGAAAGAGCUGCUGCUGCUGCUGCUGCUGCUGGGCUCACCAAGGUCCAGUUGGACACGAAAGGGACGAGCUGGGCGUGUA